UGUAGAAAUACAAUGGGGGUUUGAUGUGGAAAGAUGUCUGUACGAAGUUUAUAUAACGGGUUAGAAUGUGGACUUACAUCCACCAGAAGCUUGGGGAUGUCUCGCCAGAACUUAGACAGAAUGCUGGAGAACUACGAUACAGCUUCACAUUAACAUCCACUUGGUUUAACAGAUCGAGAUAGUCCAUCGAAUUCUGACCACUGAUUUGAAACUCAAUGGGAGUAUCAUCCGACACUUGGGAUAUUGGACGAAUCUCUUGAUAAUGGACAUCAUUCACCGCAACUUGUGUAGGAGCUCACUUUUCGCCUGGUUUACUGUCUGUUCCGAUGGGGAAACUGUGCUGAUUGUCAUACCAUUACUUCCCAUCUUCGACUUGUGUGGAAUGGCAAAUCCCCUCCCAACUUGAGAUCAUCCGGGGAUAUCGCCAUAUUGAAAACCCGCCAGAGGUUCGGUCCACGUCCAUGGUGCUCGGGAUGAGUCAUUGGAGGACGAAGAUCGGGUGUCCUUAUGCUGCCAUGAAAUGUCGUUUUUAUGAUGUCCAAUUAUGUUCAAAAAUAAACAACUUGGAGAAUGUG
Long non-coding RNA from Mya arenaria, 575 nucleotides. RefSeq lists it as uncharacterized. The transcript has 5 exons. The record is from RefSeq and is a predicted model, not a curated record. Lineage: Eukaryota; Metazoa; Mollusca; Bivalvia; Myida; Myidae.